This 72-nucleotide transfer RNA is filed under the name Camelus bactrianus (Bactrian camel). It matches the Rfam family "tRNA". Rfam says of the family: Transfer RNA (tRNA) molecules are approximately 80 nucleotides in length. Their secondary structure includes four short double-helical elements and three loops (D, anti-codon, and T loops). The record is from Rfam by way of RNAcentral. Lineage: Eukaryota; Metazoa; Chordata; Mammalia; Artiodactyla; Camelidae. RNAcentral also lists the same sequence under 2 other names.
GGGUGUAUAGUUCAGUGACAGAGCACAUGGUCAGCAUGCACGAGGUCCUGGGUUCAAUCCCCAGUACCUCUA